This 348-nucleotide unclassified non-coding RNA is filed under the name Hevea brasiliensis (rubber tree). The record is from RNAcentral. Lineage: Eukaryota; Viridiplantae; Streptophyta; Magnoliopsida; Malpighiales; Euphorbiaceae.
GAGGAAAUUCAUAUGUUGGCGUCCAAGGCAUUGUGAAGAAAAUGUGAAUCGGUACACCAAGAGCUUCAGCAACAUGGACGUGUCCAUAAGCAGGUGGGUUUGCAAUAAUUGCUUGGGCUCUAAAAGGUGCACCAGUUUCAAUAUCUGGCUCUGAGCAUGCGGGAAGAAGUGACUCAAUAAUGGCUUUCAGCUCCUUCCUUUGUAAGGUUAUUUCUCCUGGAGCAGAUGGGAUGAGACCUUUAUUUCUGGCCAUAUAUCCUGCCAAAACCCGAGGAUCACCGCCUAAGGGAUAAAAUUCUACACCAGCUGACCUUACAAAACUUCUGAAGUUAGCAUGAGUUGCCAGCC